AUUAAGUGUGACCGUCUCCCGACGUCACCCCAUCCGUACAAAUAUUCACACCUAUCACCAGUAUCGGCGACCAUCUAUGAACUUUCUAUCUCUCGACCCCUAACAGGCUACACACACACAAAGAUACCAUUACUUUCCGUCACCAAUAUCGGCGACCCAACCCCUUACCCGUCGGAGUCUCCCUACUAUCACCACUAUCGGCGAUCAACUUACUCCUUCUAGGUAGCGACAACCAAUAUCGGUGUCCCUCUAAUGCUAGCAAUUCAAGGAUAAUACCACCCCAUUCUUACUCCACAACAUUGUCC
This 305-nucleotide long non-coding RNA is filed under the name Carica papaya (papaya). RNAcentral describes it as "long non-coding RNA (CPAP_LNC008815)". The record is from RNAcentral. Lineage: Eukaryota; Viridiplantae; Streptophyta; Magnoliopsida; Brassicales; Caricaceae.